AUGGCUGUCAUCACCUUCUCACAAGAGCCGGCAAUCCACAAAAUCAACACCAAACCAGGAGAGGGGUGAGGACGGAACACGGAGCCCAAACCAGUGACAAACUCCUGUACUGGCAACAGCAGAACCAAACAGAACUUCAAGCCUGCCUGCGGUCCGCGUCGGGGUGGGGGCUGUGAGAACGGCCGGAGUCUCACAGGAGGAGGAUAAGGAUGCUGGCUCUAGAGCACGGGGCGGCGGGGAGGAAAGCAGCUGACAGUUGCACGCACAGCUGACGCUCUGGACACUGCACCGCACGGCCCCGAAGCAAGGACACCUCGGCAGCAACAAGCACACCACGCACAGAAUCUUGGUUCCUCUCUACCACUUCCCACCGAGAGGACUGAGGCUCCUGGAAGAGAGAGAACCAAUUCCAGGACUCUGCCCAAGAUCUGGACCCAGAGACCGCGUCCUCUCCUCGAGAACUGCAUCAGGGCCAGCGCAACACUGCCAACACCAAAUGGAUUCCCAAAGAUGGGAUGCGUCUUCUGUCCAGGAAACUUGCCACACCAAACACAGCCCUGGGCCUGGGACCCACAACAGAGGUCAGACCCCCAUAGAACGUGAUUUCCAGAGAAGACACAGCAAGCUGAGAAAUGAAACAGGUACGUCCUCUGAGUUGAGAAGCGGAAGUUUCGCGGCCUCUAUGGUGUGCUCCAAAAUACCACAGCAACAAAAAAAAAGGAAAAGGAAGAGAAGGAACGAACAAGAUAGGAACCAUGUGGCAAAAUCUUGACCAUGAUCAUGGAAUUGAAACAAGAACCAUUUUAAAAGCUCCUGUAUUGAAGGACUAAGGGAACAAAACGACCAGAGCCAAGGAGGCACAGAGCCAUGAUCUCUGACUGGAGGGGACGAGGCUGGGAGAUGGCACCCACUUCACAUUGACUGGGACAGCCAUGGUCAAAAAGAUGAGCCAAAACAAAAACAAGUGCUGGCAAGGAUGUGGAGAAGCUGAAACCCUCACGCGUCGCUGGCGGAAAUGCAAAAUGACGUGGCUACUGUGGAAAACGGUUUGGUGGUUCCUCAGAAAGUUAAAGAAAGAAUUACCACAUGACUCAGCGAUUUACUCCUGGGUGUACACUCCAAAGACUGAAAAGAGACACUCAAACAGAUGCUUGUACACAUUCAGAGCAGCACUAUUCACAACAGUCACAAGAUGGAAAAAACUCACAUGUUCAUCAGAUGAAUAAACAAAAUGUGGUCUACGCAUACGAGGGAAGAUUACUCAGCCAGAAAAAGAAAUGAGGCUCUGCCACAGGCCAUCGCGCAGAUGAACCUUGAGAACGUUACGCAGAGUGAGAUGCGCCAGGCACAAAAUGACAAAUCAGUCUACUUACAUGAAACACCUACUUCAGGCAAAUUCAUAGAGACAAAAAAAGGAAAGGAGAGUUACUGCUUAAUAGGUACAGAGUUUCUGCUUGGGGUGGCAAGAAUGUUUUACAAACAGGCAAUGAUGAUGGUCACACAACACCGUAAACAUACUUAUGCCACCAAAAGUAGGCUUAAAAAUGGCUGAGGGGCACCUGGGUAGCUCAGCCGGUUAAGCUUCUGCUCUUGAUUUCGGCUCAGGUCCUGAUCUCAAGGUUAGUGAGUCUGAGCCCCGAACUGGAAUUCUCUCUCUCCCCCUCUCUCUGCCCCUCCACUGCUCACGCAUGCUCUCUCUCCCUCAAAAAUAAAUAAACUUUAA
Panthera uncia (snow leopard) is the source of this 1723-nucleotide long non-coding RNA. RefSeq lists it as uncharacterized. The transcript has 5 exons. NCBI's taxonomy places the organism in Eukaryota, Metazoa, Chordata, Mammalia, Carnivora, Felidae. The record is from RefSeq and is a predicted model, not a curated record.